Molecule: ribosomal RNA, 455 nt
Filed under: Radix sp. Kumaraura Village Dhanusa NP
Lineage: Eukaryota; Metazoa; Mollusca; Gastropoda; Lymnaeidae
Description: partial 16S ribosomal RNA
Rfam family: Bacterial large subunit ribosomal RNA
Source: RNAcentral
UCAAAAACAUAGCUUAAAGAAUAUAUUUUAAGUAAAUUCUGCCCAGCGUAAAUUUAAUUAGCGGCCGCAGUACCUUGACUGUGCUAAGGUAGCAUAAUCAAUUGGCUUUUAAUUGAAGUCUGGAAUGAAAGGAAAAAUAAAGAAUUAACUGUCUCUUUUUAAUUUAUGUGAAUUUAUUUAUUAAGUGAAAAUACUUAAAUUUAGAAAAAAGACGAGAAGACCCUUAGAAUUUUUAUUAAUAUUAUUUUUUGUAUUUAUAUUUUUGUUGGGGCGACAAUGAAACAUAUUUAACUUUUAAGUUUUUCAAGACAUUAAUUUUUGUACGGUUAAAUUACCUUAGGGAUAACAGCAUAAUAAUUUAUAUAGCUUAUGACCUCGAUGUUGGACUAGGAACUAAAAGACUAACCGUCAAAAUAGAUUGUUCUGUUCGAACAAAAAUCUCCUACGUGAUCUGA